GCGGGCGUGGCGGAAUUGGUAGACGCGCUUGGUUUAGGUCCAAGUAUCGUGAGAUGUGGGGGUUCGAGUCCCUUCGCCCGCACCA
RNAcentral lists this transfer RNA (85 nucleotides) under Sphingomonas paeninsulae. Its description in RNAcentral is "Sphingomonas sp. YZ-8 tRNA-Leu". It matches the Rfam family "tRNA". From Rfam's summary of the family: Transfer RNA (tRNA) molecules are approximately 80 nucleotides in length. Their secondary structure includes four short double-helical elements and three loops (D, anti-codon, and T loops). Lineage: Bacteria; Pseudomonadati; Pseudomonadota; Alphaproteobacteria; Sphingomonadales; Sphingomonadaceae. RNAcentral also lists the same sequence under 3 other names. The record is from RNAcentral.